CGUGCCUGCGCGGUGACAGCAGGCCGGCUUCUCUGGCCGCCUGGCCUCCCGGCCUCCUGAUGAACUUCUUUCCCCUCCCCUCUGGCUCCGUUCCCUGGAAGGGUUUUUUUUGUGUUUUUUUUUUGCUCUGCAAUGGGAAGAGGCCAGGGCGGCAGCCUAUAGUAAUGUGUUCAGGCCGGCUCUAAGUUGUUUCCGUCUAUUUGUUUAUCGGUGUUAAGGAAGAGCUGUGCAGCGUCUCCUGUGAGCCUGGUGUUGAGCCAGCUCAAGCAGUGCGGGUCGGAAGGUGCCUGCGGGAGAUGGGGGUGCUGCUGGAACGGACCUCAGGAGCAUCCGUCAUUUUCUUCUCUCAGCAAACAGGAGAAGAGCUGCCGUGCUUCCUUCUGGUCCUUAGUACUGGGUGCCUGUUGGCUUUUUCAGGUGGCUUCACUUCUAGGUUACAAAUCCAAAACUGGGCUCUUGGGGAGAGAUAUAACAUAUUCUGCAAUGAAGGCACCAGCUCUGUGCUAAAUGAGCUGCUCUCUGCCAGAUCCAGACUUGGUCUGGGCUGUGACCCCACAGAAAUGCCGAGUGUUUCCAAGGAAGCAGGCCUCUGCUGGAAGCUGAGAGGAAAAAGAACCUCUGCUUUUUGUGUUCCUGAAGAACAGCGAGCCUAGUGUCAAGAACCCUUCUUUUCCAGUGUCAGGCCUGAUAUUUGGCCAUUGGUACAUUUAUUACAUUGGAUCCCUUCUGUCCUGCUCCUGGAGAACUGCACAGCAGACAGCUGGGCAAGCCAUGGCUGAACCUGGACUAUGGAUUUCCCAUCGACAUAGGACAGAAAUACUCAGAGAAGAAAAGCACCAGGUCUGACAUGACAGUGCUGAGAAGAGCUUCCAGCUGAAUUAAUAGUUGCACCAGGAAACUGUUGGACUAUCUACAUGGACUUGUUUUAUUAUCUAAACCCAAAAUUCAGUUUGACUUGUCACGUCUAGCUGGAAGUAGAGUGCAUAAAACAGGCUGAAAUUCCAAGUGUGAGUAUAAUGAAAUAUUUAACCCUGGUACCCUAUUCAGCCAUUGCUUAGGGUUCCUUUCAGUUUUUCGAAAAAAGUAGAUUUUCUUCCAGUUUUUCCCCAGAAAACCUGUUAACAGUUAUCAUUUCUUAUUGCAAGAAGGGCUGAAAAAUUUGGCAUCUGGACAUCAUCACCUUAUGGCAUGUUGCACCUGAGCAAAAACUUACCCCCACACUUAACAAAAGCAGAAUCCUUGGAAGGAACAGUUGUAGCACUUGAAGUGCUAUUUAGGCUGUCAGUUCUCUUUCCAUAAAUGUUUUUAAAUCAGGGAUUUAAAUUAAGCACCCACAUUAAUCACUCUCAAACUAAUCAGUGAAUUGAUUCCAAAUCUGGCAGCCAGUCAGUGUUGAUACGAGAUUUGCUGCAUGUAUACUCACAAAUUUUGUUUGCACAGUGUUUUAUUGCAAAUAUAAAAAGGCAAAUGCAGUUGUCAAUUAUGAAUGAAAUUGAAUCAGGACAAACUGAAGUAUGAAACUGGUGUAUAUACACUCAGCAGCCUGUCAGUAUGGACAAAACCACCUGAGAUUUGACAUCUUAUUUGAUAGAUCUUCUUGUAAAUAAUAAAUCACCUUUUCUUUCUGCA
This 1629-nucleotide long non-coding RNA is filed under the name Zonotrichia albicollis (white-throated sparrow). Its description in RNAcentral is "lncRNA (ENSZALG00000002554.1)". The record is from RNAcentral. Lineage: Eukaryota; Metazoa; Chordata; Aves; Passeriformes; Passerellidae.